GGAUCAGUGAUUCAUUCACCGAGAACAAUCUUUGUGAAGUUGUUAGAGGAAUUGCCGGGGAUCUUGUGGAAGAGGUGCAACUAAUAGACAACUUCACGAAUAAGAAAGGAAUGACCAGUCACUGCUAUAGGAUUACUUACCGUUCCAUGGAGCGCUCACUCACAGAUGAGGAAAUAAACGAUUUGCAGUGGAAAGUAAGAGAUCAAGUGGAGAGCAAAUUAAAAGUCGUUCUUAGAUGAGUAUUCCUUCCUUACUUAUUUUUCGUCACUUAUUUUCUGUUUUUCUUUCUUUGUGCCGGGAACAUAUAUUAUACCUUUUCUGGACUUGUUUUACCUCUGCUAGUUCAUUGCACUUGUAGAUUGUAUAGGGAAAGGAAAACCUUAGUGAAUUUGCUGUCAUUUGAAGUUUUGAAGCCAAUUGUUCUAAUAA
Molecule: long non-coding RNA, 429 nt
Organism: Ipomoea triloba (trilobed morning glory)
Lineage: Eukaryota; Viridiplantae; Streptophyta; Magnoliopsida; Solanales; Convolvulaceae
Exons: 3
Source: RefSeq, a predicted model, not a curated record